GGCUCUAGCGGAGGACUCAGGGUCAGCCUCCCGACCGAGUUUAUCGUACCAUGUUGCUUCGGCGGGCCCACCUCACGGCCGCCGGGGGGCUUCUGCCCUCGGGCCCGCGCCCGCCGAAGACACCAUUGAACGCUGUCUGAAGAUUGCAGUCUGAGCAAUUAGCUAAAUAAGUUAAAACUUUCAACAACGGAUCUCUUGGUUCCGGCAUCGAUGAAGAACGCAGCGAAAUGCGAUACGUAAUGUGAAUUGCAGAAUUCAGUGAAUCAUCGAGUCUUUGAACGCACAUUGCGCCCCCUGGUAUUCCGGGGGGCAUGCCUGUCCGAGCGUCAUUGCUGCCCUCAAGCACGGCUUGUGUGUUGGGCCUCCGUCCUCCUCCCGGGGGACGGGCCCGAAAGGCAGCGGCGGCACCGCGUCCGGUCCUCGAGCGUAUGGGGCUUCGUCACCCGCUCUUGUAGGCCCGGCCGGCGCUUGCCGACACAUCAAUCUUUUUUUCCAGGUUGACCUCGGAUCAGGUAGGGAUACCCGCUGAACUUAAGCAUAUCAAUAAGCGGAGGAAA
RNAcentral lists this ribosomal RNA (557 nucleotides) under Penicillium meridianum. RNAcentral's name for it is "eukaryotic LSU rRNA". The stretch from base 176 to 329 matches the Rfam family "5.8S ribosomal RNA". Lineage: Eukaryota; Fungi; Ascomycota; Eurotiomycetes; Eurotiales; Aspergillaceae. The record is from RNAcentral.